Non-coding RNA from Coregonus clupeaformis (lake whitefish), 546 nucleotides. Lineage: Eukaryota; Metazoa; Chordata; Actinopteri; Salmoniformes; Salmonidae. The record is from the annotation of a RefSeq genome assembly.
AUGUGGAUGGCUUGCUCAGGCUGUAUGACCUUGUCCGGUCCAGGAGACCUACAGGUAAUAGGGAUUGUAUCACUGUGGUACACUUUUGGUAGCGGCACCAGACUAGAUGUUGGAAGUAACAGUGUCCCCACCCUCACCGUCCUGCCCCCCUCUAGUGAAGAGCUGUCCAGUACAACAACAGCCACACUGACGUGUCUGGCCAACAAGGGCUUCCCCUCAGACUGGACCAUGAGCUGGAAAGUGGACGGGACCAGCAAGAAGCAGGAGGCCAGUCCCAGGGUCCAGGAGAAGGAUGGCCUGUAUAGCUGGAGCAGCACCCUGACUCUCACUGCCCAGGAGUGGACCAAUGCAGGAGAGGUGACCUGUGAAGCGCAGCAGAAAUCCCAGACUCCAGUCACCAAGACCCUGAGGAGGGCUGACUGUUCUGGGUAGGACCCCUCAGUCACACACCCCUGUGGAGAGAGGAUGCUGGUUCCUCUUCUUUGACUUGCUUUGUUCUAAAAUCAGUCAUUCUUCAAUCUAGUGAUCACUCUGGUGUAGACUAAC